This 449-nucleotide ribosomal RNA is filed under the name uncultured Methanolinea sp. Its description in RNAcentral is "bacterial SSU rRNA". It matches the Rfam family "Archaeal small subunit ribosomal RNA", at positions 889 to 1338 of the family's 1478-position model. The record is from RNAcentral. Lineage: Archaea; Methanobacteriati; Methanobacteriota; Methanomicrobia; Methanomicrobiales; Methanoregulaceae.
UGGAGCCUGCGGUUUAAUUGGACUCAACGCCGGGCAGCUCACCGGAUAAGACAGCUGGAUGAUAGCCGGGCUGAAGACUCUGCUUGACUAGCUGAGAGGAGGUGCAUGGCCGUCGUCAGUUCGUACUGUGAAGCAUCCUGUUAAGUCAGGCAACGAGCGAGACCCACGCCAACAGUUGCCAGCAUGUCCUCCGGGAUGAUGGGGACACUGUUGGGACCGCUCUGCUAAAGAGGAGGAAGGAAUGGGCAACGGUAGGUCAGCAUGCCCCGAAUUAUCCGGGCUACACGCGGGCUACAAUGGUCAGGACAAUGGGUAUCGACACCGAGAGGUGGAGGCAAUCUCCUAAACCUGUCCUUAGUUCGGAUUGUGGGCUGCAACUCGCCCACAUGAAGCUGGAAUCCGUAGUAAUCGCGUUUCAAAAUAGCGCGGUGAAUAUGUCCCUGCUCCUU